This 579-nucleotide ribosomal RNA is filed under the name Triticum aestivum (bread wheat). RNAcentral's name for it is "partial small subunit ribosomal RNA". The record is from RNAcentral. Lineage: Eukaryota; Viridiplantae; Streptophyta; Magnoliopsida; Poales; Poaceae.
AUGAGAUUUCUUUCUACGGAUAUGAAGGAUAGAAAUAUGCUAUUUGCUGCUAUUCCAUCUAUUUGUGCAUCAAGUCCGAAGAAUAUCUCAAUCUAUAAUGAAGAAAUGAUAGUAGCUCGUUGUUUUAUAGGCUUUCUCAUAUUCAGUCGGAAAAGUUUAGGUAAGACUUUCAAAGAAACUCUCAACGGGAGAAUCGAGUCUAUUCAGGAAGAAUUGCAGCAAUUCUUCAAUCCUAACGAAGUAAUUCCGGAGGAAUCCAAUGAACAACAACAAUUACUUAGGAUCAGCUUGCGAAUUUGCAGCACCGUAGUAGAAUCAUUACCAACGACACGUUGUGCGCCUAAGUGCGAAAAGACAGUGCAAGCUUUGUUAUGCCGAAACCUAAAUGUAAAGUCAGCAACACUUCUAAAUGCCACUUCUUCCUGCCGCAUCCGUCUUCAGGACGAUAUAGUCACAUGUUUUCACUUUUCAAUGAGUGAAAGAUUUGUAUCCGGGUCUACGUUCAAAGCUUCUACCAUAGACCUAAUUCGAGAAGGCUUGAUAGUCCUAAGAAAGGUGAGGGUGGGGGGUUCUAUUUAG